GGGGGGAGGCCGGAUCCUGGGCAGUGUCCCGUCGCCCUCUGCUUCAGGGCCUGUGCUGUUGGAUUUCUGCUCCUGGCCACGCAGCCCCCU
This 90-nucleotide microRNA precursor is filed under the name Canis lupus familiaris (dog). Its description in RNAcentral is "mir-8799 microRNA precursor family". It matches the Rfam family "mir-8799 microRNA precursor family". Lineage: Eukaryota; Metazoa; Chordata; Mammalia; Carnivora; Canidae. The record is from Rfam by way of RNAcentral.